AAGAAUUUAAGUUAAAAAAACUCUUAGCCUUCAAAGCUAAUAUUAGAAUCUUCAUCUACUUCUUA
Molecule: transfer RNA, 65 nt
Filed under: Trigonopterus sp. 7 AH-2016
Lineage: Eukaryota; Metazoa; Arthropoda; Insecta; Coleoptera; Curculionidae
Description: tRNA-Trp
Source: RNAcentral